This 749-nucleotide ribosomal RNA is filed under the name Lactiplantibacillus plantarum. RNAcentral describes it as "bacterial SSU rRNA". It matches the Rfam family "Bacterial small subunit ribosomal RNA", at positions 48 to 762 of the family's 1533-position model. Lineage: Bacteria; Bacillati; Bacillota; Bacilli; Lactobacillales; Lactobacillaceae. The record is from RNAcentral.
CUAAUACAUGCAAGUCGAACGAACUCUGGUAUUGAUUGGUGCUUGCAUCAUGAUUUACAUUUGAGUGAGUGGCGAACUGGUGAGUAACACGUGGGAAACCUGCCCAGAAGCGGGGGAUAACACCUGGAAACAGAUGCUAAUACCGCAUAACAACUUGGACCGCAUGGUCCGAGUUUGAAAGAUGGCUUCGGCUAUCACUUUUGGAUGGUCCCGCGGCGUAUUAGCUAGAUGGUGGGGUAACGGCUCACCAUGGCAAUGAUACGUAGCCGACCUGAGAGGGUAAUCGGCCACAUUGGGACUGAGACACGGCCCAAACUCCUACGGGAGGCAGCAGUAGGGAAUCUUCCACAAUGGACGAAAGUCUGAUGGAGCAACGCCGCGUGAGUGAAGAAGGGUUUCGGCUCGUAAAACUCUGUUGUUAAAGAAGAACAUAUCUGAGAGUAACUGUUCAGGUAUUGACGGUAUUUAACCAGAAAGCCACGGCUAACUACGUGCCAGCAGCCGCGGUAAUACGUAGGUGGCAAGCGUUGUCCGGAUUUAUUGGGCGUAAAGCGAGCGCAGGCGGUUUUUUAAGUCUGAUGUGAAAGCCUUCGGCUCAACCGAAGAAGUGCAUCGGAAACUGGGAAACUUGAGUGCAGAAGAGGACAGUGGAACUCCAUGUGUAGCGGUGAAAUGCGUAGAUAUAUGGAAGAACACCAGUGGCGAAGGCGGCUGUCUGGUCUGUAACUGACGCUGAGGCUCGAAAGUAU